This is a long non-coding RNA of Hippopotamus amphibius kiboko, 989 nucleotides long. RefSeq lists it as uncharacterized. The record is from RefSeq and is a predicted model, not a curated record. The transcript has 3 exons. Lineage: Eukaryota; Metazoa; Chordata; Mammalia; Artiodactyla; Hippopotamidae.
AGAGAAAAGGGGUGAUGAUCUCUCUGGCUGCUUCCUGCUGGGCGGGGGUGUCGUAGGGCCCUGGGUUCCCAUUGCCUGCUCUCUGUCAGGGUUAUACCUAAGGAGGGGUGUUGGCCGCUUGUUCAAGUGUCCGGGUGUUGACUGGCCGAUAUUCUUGAUGCAUUGCCAUUUGGAGGUUUAUUUGUUGUAUUCUACAAGAGACAACUUUAACAAGGAGGUUAAGAAUAUAUGGAAACAUCAGGCUAUGGAGGCCCAUGAACUCGGGGGAGGGCGGGCAGCAUCACCGGAUUGUUUUCUGAAGAGACAGCAGAGGCCGUCCAGAGGUUGCCAAAGUUCUCAAGAAAAAAGCAAAAACAGAAACAAAACCACAUUUUUCAACUCUUUGCAUUCAGGCCCCAGGACUGCCCUGGUGGCAUAGUGGUUGAGUCCUCCCACCAAUGCAGGGGACGUGGGUUCAAUCCCUGAUCUGGGAAGAUCCCACAUGCCUUGGAGCUGCUAAGCCUGUGCGCCACAACUACUGAGGCUGCGCUCUAGAGUCUGCAUGCCACAACUACUGAGCCUGUGCACUGCAACUACUGAAGCCCCCGUGCCUAGAGCCGGUGCUCUGCAAAAAGAGAAGCCACCACAAUGAGAAGCCUGCACACCACAAUGAAGAGUAGCCCUCACCUGCCACAACUAGAGAAAGCCUGAGCACAGCAAUAAAGACCCAACACACCCAAAAUGAAUAAAUAAAAUAAAUAAAUUAAAAAAAAACUUUUUCUCUUGGUUUCCUCAACAUCAACUCAUCCAAGUUUAAUUCCUAUGUCUCUGGAAAUUUGCUUCUUUGUGGAAUCAUUUUCUUUCUUAUUAAAUCUUGUGACAUCUGUCCUUUGCCCUCUUUUCACGUGGCAUGAUCUGGCAACCUUCAUUACUCUUUAACUACAUUGUGGAACAAAGUUUGAGUUCAAAUCAGACUCUGUACCUUCUUGGCUGAAUGUUUUUUUCAAACA